RNAcentral lists this small nuclear RNA (24 nucleotides) under Arabidopsis thaliana (thale cress). RNAcentral's name for it is "snRNA_11501". Lineage: Eukaryota; Viridiplantae; Streptophyta; Magnoliopsida; Brassicales; Brassicaceae. The record is from RNAcentral.
AUUUGAAUAUUCAGUAUAUUUUGC